Molecule: ribosomal RNA, 366 nt
Filed under: Triticum aestivum (bread wheat)
Lineage: Eukaryota; Viridiplantae; Streptophyta; Magnoliopsida; Poales; Poaceae
Description: partial small subunit ribosomal RNA
Source: RNAcentral
AUGUUACGAGCUUCUGGAAUACAAUGGGAUCUUCGUAAAGUAGAUCCUUAUGAGUGUUACAACCAAUUUGAUUGGAAAGUCCAAUGGCAAAAAGAAGGGGAUUCGUUAGCUCGCUAUUUAGUACGAAUUGGUGAAAUGAGGGAAUCCAUCAAAAUAAUUCAACAAGCUGUAGAAAAAAUUCCUGGAGGACCUUAUGAGAAUUUAGAAGUCCGACGCUUUAAGAAAGAAAAGAAUUCUGAAUGGAAUGAUUUUGAGUAUAAAUUUCUUGGUAAAAAACCUUCGCCCAAUUUUGAAUUGUCAAGACAAGAGCUUUAUGUAAGAGUAGAAGCCCCAAAAGGUGAACAUAGAUUAGUCCUACUAUCUUAA